AAUUCGCCCUUAGAGUUUGAUCAUGGCUCAGAUUGAACGCUGGCGGCAGGCCUAACACAUGCAAGUCGAGCGGCAGCACAAGGGAGUUUACUCCUGAGGUGGCGAGCGGCGGACGGGUGAGUAAUGCCUAGGGAUCUGCCCAGUCGAGGGGGAUAACAGUUGGAAACGACUGCUAAUACCGCAUACGCCCUACGGGGGAAAGAGGGGGACUUUCGGGCCUCUCGCGAUUGGAUGAACCUAGGUGGGAUUAGCUAGUUGGUGAGGUAAUGGCUCACCAAGGCGACGAUCCCUAGCUGUUCUGAGAGGAUGAUCAGCCACACUGGGACUGAGACACGGCCCAGACUCCUACGGGAGGCAGCAGUGGGGAAUAUUGCACAAUGGGGGAAACCCUGAUGCAGCCAUGCCGCGUGUGUGAAGAAGGCCUUCGGGUUGUAAAGCACUUUCAGUANGGAGGAAAGGUUGUAAGUUAAUACCUUGCAGCUGUGACGUUACCUACAGAAGAAGGACCGGCUAACUCCGUGCCAGCAGCCGCGGUAAUACGGAGGGUCCAAGCGUUAAUCGGAAUUACUGGGCGUAAAGCGUGCNCCAGGCGGUUUGUUAANCGAGAUGUGAAAGCCCCGGGCCUCAACC
RNAcentral lists this ribosomal RNA (630 nucleotides) under uncultured Gammaproteobacteria bacterium. RNAcentral describes it as "bacterial SSU rRNA". It matches the Rfam family "Bacterial small subunit ribosomal RNA", at positions 1 to 614 of the family's 1533-position model. Lineage: Bacteria; Pseudomonadati; Pseudomonadota; Gammaproteobacteria. The record is from RNAcentral.